GAAAUGGUGGUAGAUUUUAGGAGACAUGAUCUCGUCGAUCCCGUCUAAAACUGAAAUAGGGGACGGAUGCUGCGGCGGAGAGAGAAGAAGAAACGAUUUAUUUAAUGGACAUUAGAAGAAGCAAGGUCGCGCGGAGGGAGAGCGAUUUAUUGUAACGAACAUUAGAAGAAACAAGGUCGUGCGGAGGCGGAGCGAUUUACUAUUUUUCGUGGAGAAGAAGGAAGGUCGUGUGUAUUGGUUUGGUUUGAUUUAGAGGUUUAGAUAGUGAACGGUUCGCUUCGGUUCGGUUUGGUUCGGUUUGGUUCAGAGGUUCAGAGAGAAGUAGUUCAAUGAUUCGGUUCAGCUGUUUAGAGACAACAGUUCGGUUCGGUUCGGUUCAGAGGUUCAGGAGAGACAGUUCAAGACUAAAUUACCAGUCAUUCUGGAAAGUAAUAAACGGUUAGAAAUUCUAUGUUGAUCAAAAAGGAACAAUUCAUGGCAAAGAGAACUACUAACCUGAAACUCUAGCAAGAAGGAAACGUCCACAUCUUGUAAAUGUGAGCGUCGAUUUCUAGGGAUAAGACAAUAAGAUUAUUAUAUAAGAAAGAAAUAUUUGAUCUGAAUACCUAAAUUUCUUAUCGUUCAGAUUUUGGAAUAAUAACAUCAGAUGAUGGUUUCUAAUUGAGGCAAGGAUGGAUAUUAUAGGCAAAAUUGUAGCAGCGAGGAAGGUAGAAGAAUCGGCCAAGGUAGAGGAAUCGACAGACAGUACAUUUGAUGAGACACGAUCCAUCUGAAACGGUGGUAGAUUUUAUGAGACAUGAUCUCGUCGAUCCCGUCUAAAAUGGAAAUAGGGGACAGAUGCUGCGGCGGAGAGAGGAGAAGAAACGAUUUAUUGUAACGGACAUGAGAAGAAGUAAGGUCGCGCGAAGGGGGAGCGAUUUACUAUAACAGACAUGAGAAGAAGCAAGGUCGUGCGAAGGCGGAGCGAUUUACUGUUUUGCGUGGAGAAGAAGCAAGGUCGUGUGUAUUGGUUUGGUUUGAUUUAGAGGUUUAGAUAGUGAACGGUUCGCUUCGGUUCGGUUUGGUUCGGUUUGGUUCAGAGGUUCAGAGAGAGGUAGUUCAAUAGUUCGGUUCAGAUGUUUAGAGACAACAGUUCGGUUCGUUUCGGUUCAGAGGUUCAGAGAGAGACAGUUCAAGACUAAAUUACAAAUCAUUCUAGAAAAUAAUAAACGGUUAGAAAUUCUAUGUUGAUCAAAAAGGAACAAUUCAUGGCAAAAAGAACUACUAACCUGAAACCCUAGCAAGAAGGAAACGUUUAGAUCUUGUAAAUGUGAGCAUCGAUUUCUAGGGAUAAGAUAAUAAGAUUAUUAUAUAAGAAAGAAAGAUUUGAUCUUAAUAUCUAAAUUUCUUAUCGUUCAGAUUUUGGAAUAAUAACAUCAGAUGAUGGUUUCGAUCUGAAGCAAGGAUGGAUUUUAUAGGCAAAAUUGUAGCAGCGAGGAAGGUAGAAGAAUCGGCCAUGGUAGAGGAAUCGACAGACGGUAGAUUUGAUGAGACACGAUCCAUCUGAAACGGUGGUAGAUUUUAUGAGACACGAUCUCGUCGAUCCCAUCUAAAACGAAAAUAGGGGACGGAUGCUGCGGCAAAGAGAGGAGAAGAAACGAUUUAUUGUAACGGACACGAGAAGAAGCAAGGUCGCGCAGAGGGGGAGCGAUUUACUGUAACAGACAUGAGAAGAAGCAAGGUCGUGCGGAGGCAGAGGGAUUUACUAUUUUUCUUGGAGAAUAAGCAAGGUCGCGUGUAUUGGUUCAGUUUGAUUUAGAGGUUUAGAUAGUGAACGAUUCGCAUCAGUUCAGUUUGGUCCUGUUCGGUUUAGAGGUUCAGAGAGAGGUAGUUCAAUGGUUCGGUUCAGAUGUUUAGAGACAAUGGUUCUAUAGGAAAAAUAGGCAAAAAUGUAGCAGCGAUGAGGGUAGAAGAAUCGGCCAGGGUAGAGGAAUCGGCGGACGGUAGAUUUGAUGAGACACGAUCCAUCUGAAACGGUGGUAGAUUUUAUGAGACACGAUCUCGUCGAUCCCAUCUGAAAUAGAAAUAGGGGACGGAUGCUGCGGCGGAGAGAGGAGAAGAAACGAUUUAUUGUAACGGACAUGAGAAGAAGCAAGGUCGCGCGGAGGGGAAGAGAUUUAUUGUAACGGACAUGAGAAGAAGCAAGGUCGUGCGGAGGCAGAGCGAUUUACUGUUUGGCGUGGAGAAGAAGCAAGGUCGUGUGCAUCGGUUUGGUUUGAUUUAGAGGUUUAGAUAGUGAACGGUUCGCAUCGGUUCGGUUUGGUUCGGUUUGGUUCAGAGGUUCAGAGAGAGGUAAUUCAAUGGUUCGGUUCAGAUGUUUAGAGACAACAGUUCGGUUCGGUUCGGUUCGGUUCGGUUCGGUUCGGUUCAGAGGUUCAGAGAUAGGCAGUUCAAGACUAAAUUACCAAUCAUUCUAGAAAAUAAUAAACGGUUGGAAAUUCUAUAUUGAUCAAAAAGGAACAAUUCAUGGCAAAGAGAACUACUAACCUGAAACCCUUGCAAGAAGGAAACGUCCAGAUCUUGUAAAGGUGGGCGUUGAUUUCAAGGGAUAAGACAAUAAGAUUAUUAUAUAAGAAAGAAAGAUUUGAUCUGAAUACCUAAAUUUCUUAUCGUUCAGAUUUUGGAUUAAUAACAUUAGAUGAUGGUUUCAAUCUAAGGCAAGGAUGGAUUUUAUAGGCAAAAUUGUAGCAGCGAGGAAGGUAGAAGAAUCGGCCAGGGUAGAGGAAUCGGCAGACGGUAGAUUUGAUGAGACACGAUCCAUCUGAAACGGUGGUAGAUUUUAUGAGACACGAUCUCGUCGAUCCCGUCUAAAACGGAAAUAGAGGACGGAUGCUGCGGCGGAGAGAGGAGAAGAAAUGAUUUAUUGUAACGGACGGGAGAAGAAGCAAGGUCGCGCAGAGAGGGAGCAAUUUACUGUAACAGACAUGAGAAGAAGGUCGUGCGGAGGUGGAACGAUUUGCUAUUUUUCGUGGAGAAUAAGCAAGGUCGCGUGUAUUGGUUCAGUUUGAUUUAGAGGUUUAGAUAGUGAACGGUUCGCAUCGGUUCAGUUUGGUCCUGUUCGGUUUAGAGGUUCAGAGAGAGGCAGUUCAAUGGUUCGGUUCAGAUGUUUAGAGACAACGGUUCUAUAGGCAAAAUAGGCAAAAAUGUAGCCGCGAGGAUGGUAGAAGAAUCGGCCAGAGUAUAGGAAUUGGCGGACGGUAGAUUUGAUGAGACACGAUCUAUCUUAAACGGUGGUAGAUUUUAUGAGACACGAUCUCGUCGAUCCCGUCUGAAACUGAAAUAGGGGACGGAUGCUGCGGCGAAGAGAGAAGAAGAAACGAUUUAUUGUAACGGACAUGAGAAGAAGCAAGGUCGCGCGGAGGGGGAGCGAUUUAUUGUAACGGACAUGAGAAGAAGCAAUGUCGUGCAGAGGCCGAGCGAUUUACUGUUUGGCGUGGAGAAGAAGCAAGGUCGUGUGUAUUGGUUUAGUUUGAUUUAGAGGUUUAGAUAGUGAACGGUUCGCUUCGGUUCGGUUUGGUUCGGUUUGGUCCAGAGGUUCUGUCACGCCCUGCCCCGGAGCCACUACCAAUUUGACACGAUUCGGGCGCGGAGGGCGGACCGCCGAACAGACAGCACCUCCCCUAUCCGCCCAAGGCUCAACAACAGAAAUGUGUACAAGAAUUUAUCCAGGAAUUCAAAUUCUAAACAUACACAUUCAACGGGGCACAAACAGUGCCAACAACCAAGAGUAAGUAAUCCACGAGAUAUACAAGUGAAAUAAAGAGAGUACUUUACUAACUAUUACAAUAGUUUGAAUUCUUUUUCAUGUACAUCUUUUCCCCAAAAUGAAUACAUUUGUUCAUCAAUAUACAUAGCUCUCUAACCUCACCUACAUAAAUUUCUCUCUCAAUACAUAGGUGUGCUAAUGCAAAAAGGAAAGCUACUAUACUACCACGGUCUCAUUGGUCGGGCGCGAUGCCUUUGCCGCGGUCCUCGCUCGGUAAACCUGUUCCUACCACUGGAAAUAGAGUGGGGUGAGAACUAUCUUCCAUAGUUUUCAGUGGGCUCGGCCGCCGACUCCGCGGAUCUCCCCACUAGGUCCAAGUGGGCACAAGUAACAACAAAUAGAUAGAUAGAUAGAUAUCUCAAAGCUGUAAAGGCAUAAAGGAAAACUAUGCUACUAUGCCCAUAAUCAUGUAUAAUGAAUGCAUGCAUUAUAUAGUAAAGGUUUACUAACAUGCUAACAAUUUCGAUCCAUGUUCGAAUGAUAAUGUUCCAUGACAUUGUUAAUUAUUCAUUUACCCAAUCCGUAGCAAAACCCUUGGACUAGCCUACAACUCACCUUUCCAUCCCGUAUUCGGCAAGGGAGCUCCAUGUGCCCCCAAACCCGGGACUGUCUGCGGACCUCCAUGUGGUCCUAAUCGCCCGACACUCUGGAGUACUCGACGACAAUCCUCUCCAUGUGAGGAUAUGGAUGGCUAUACCACCCCAAAACAGACCGUGAGCUCGAUCUAUCCCCUCUAUGUGGGAAUACCCUACCGCUAGGGUCAACAUAUCUCUCGGAAUCAUCUACAUCCUCUCCAUGUGAGGAUAUUUAGUUUUACUAAGUUCUUUGUCCACAAGGCAUUUUCUAGGGAGUCCACUUAUCCCUAAGUUCACAAGAACCUUUAGUGUCAAAUACACUACUUUAAUGCCACUCGAUAUGAUCUCUAACAUUUAGAUGUCAUUUUCUAUGUCACUAAACACCCAUCGUGUCCAUCUCUUCCCUUUAGCACUAUAGGAUCCAUGUUUCGACCCAAUCCUCACCUAUCCAAGUCACCAAGCGUUCCAUGUACACUAGGUUUACAUUUAGAAGCAUAAGGAAAAUAUACUACAAUGCAAUCCUACAAUGCAACAUGCAAGAGAUGCAAAUCAUGUAUUUCUAAGACAUAGAAAAGAGUUCGGUUGCUUCGGGAUGACACCCCCCCACCUUUUCUCGUUGUAGAGGCUCUAGAAAUGCCUCUCGCCGAACGUUACGACGAGGUCUCGGCUUCUUUGGUCCAAAACAAUGCUCAAUCGGCCUUAUUUUGCCGAUAGCUUUUCACCGGCUCAACGAAUGCUCAAUCCGUCUUCGCCCCGCAUUUAGACACCUAUCAAUUAGAUUUACAAGGCCUCAAAUGAGAUCAAUCUCAUCCUUCACCAAAAACGCUACUUGGGUGCCCUAGGGUUCACAUCUUGCCAUUUGCAAUUUGGAACCCUAGCCUCUAGCUCUAAUCCACCAACAAUGGUGCAAGAGGUCCAUUUGACCCCAUUUCAAAAGCUCAAAACCCAAAACCCUAAGUUCUACAAGCUAGGGUUUGUAGCUUACCUCUUGAGCUACACCAAUGGAGAGAGGAGGAAGAGAGGAAGAUGCUCCAAGCCUUCUCUAGCUUGAUCUCUUUCUUCUCCUUCUUCUUCUCCUUCCUUUCUUUCUUCUUCUCCUUCUCUUUUCUUUCUGAAGAGAGAGAGUGUGUGUGAGGGGAAUGUGUGAGAGUGAGAGAGAGAGAGAGAGAGAGAGCUCUCUUCCCUCUUAUCACCCUCCAACUAAUGCCAUUUUGCAUAAAAACCCCUCAACUUUUGUCUCUGUGCACUGCCCUUACUGGGCUGUCUGCGCGCCGAGGGACCGGUCUCCUCGACCUGGGACCGGUCCCCGAGAGCUUCCCAUAUGUGCCGGGCGGGCUUCCGCUGGGUCCCGGGGCGUGACAGAUAAGAAGCAAGGUCGCAUAUAUUGGUUUGAUUUGAUUUAGAGGUAUAGAUAGUGAACGGUUCGCUUCGGCUCGGUUUGGUUCGGUUUGGUUCACAGGUUCAGAGAGAGGUAGUUCAAUGGUUCGGUUCAGAUGUUUAGAGACAACAGUUCGGUUCGGUUCGGUUCAGAGAUUUAGAGAGAGGCAGUUCAAUGGUUCGGUUCAGAUGUUUAGAGACACAAUGAGCGGUUCAGUUCAAGUGCCAGAUAAGCAGUCCAAUUUAGAAUGCAUUCGGUUCGGUUUUCAUACAAAAAAUUAGGGAGGCAAAUCAUUGGUU
This 6057-nucleotide long non-coding RNA is filed under the name Ananas comosus (pineapple). RNAcentral's name for it is "long non-coding RNA (ACOM_LNC043873)". Lineage: Eukaryota; Viridiplantae; Streptophyta; Magnoliopsida; Poales; Bromeliaceae. The record is from RNAcentral.